AUGGCCUGUUUUAAGCUACCACGUGGUCUAUGUGAGCAUAUUAACAGCAUAAUCCGAAAGUUUUGGUGGGGGAGUAAGAAUGGACAAAGGAAAACAGCUUGGGUGUCGUGGAACACAAUGACAAAACCCAAGUUCAUGGGAGGACUUGGCUUUAGAGAUGAACUUUUUAACUUGGCUCUACUCGCCCGACAAGUUUGGAGAUUGUUACAGGAACCUGAUACGCUCAGCGCGCGAGUACUUAGAGCUCGUUAUUAUCCCGGUGCAAAUAUCCUGGAUGCCUCUUUGGGCCAGGCCCCCUCCCAGGUCUGGCGAUCUCUCUUGGAAGGACGGGAUGUUCUUUCUUUGGGCCUCAUUAGAAGGAUUGGGUCAGGAGCGGGCACCCGAAUUUGGAGCGACAAUUGGCUGCCGCGAGACUAUAAGCUCCGGCCGAUCUGUGCAAGAACGGCUGAUCCACCCACGAUGGUUUCUGCUCUUAUCGAUCCGGUAACACGAUCUUGGGAUAGGUAG
This 507-nucleotide ribosomal RNA is filed under the name Triticum aestivum (bread wheat). RNAcentral's name for it is "partial small subunit ribosomal RNA". Lineage: Eukaryota; Viridiplantae; Streptophyta; Magnoliopsida; Poales; Poaceae. The record is from RNAcentral.